Molecule: ribosomal RNA, 983 nt
Filed under: Salmonella enterica subsp. enterica serovar Poona
Lineage: Bacteria; Pseudomonadati; Pseudomonadota; Gammaproteobacteria; Enterobacterales; Enterobacteriaceae
Description: partial 23S ribosomal RNA
Rfam family: Bacterial large subunit ribosomal RNA
Source: RNAcentral
GAAAAGAACCCCGGCGAGGGGAGUGAAAAAGAACCUGAAACCGUGUACGUACAAGCAGUGGGAGCACCCUUUGGGGUGUGACUGCGUACCUUUUGUAUAAUGGGUCAGCGACUUAUAUUCUGUAGCAAGGUUAACCGUAUAGGGGAGCCGCAGGGAAACCGAGUCUUAACCGGGCGUUAAGUUGCAGGGUAUAGACCCGAAACCCGGUGAUCUAGCCAUGGGCAGGUUGAAGGUUGGGUAACACUAACUGGAGGACCGAACCGACUAAUGUUGAAAAAUUAGCGGAUGACCUGUGGCUGGGGGUGAAAGGCCAAUCAAACCGGGAGAUAGCUGGUUCUCCCCGAAAGCUAUUUAGGUAGCGCCUCGUGAAUUCAUCUCCGGGGGUAGAGCACUGUUUCGGCUAGGGGGCCAUCCCGGCUUACCAACCCGAUGCAAACUGCGAAUACCGGAGAAUGUUAUCACGGGAGACACACGGCGGGUGCUAACGUCCGUCGUGAAGAGGGAAACAACCCAGACCGCCAGCUAAGGUCCCAAAGUCAUGGUUAAGUGGGAAACGAUGUGGGAAGGCCCAGACAGCCAGGAUGUUGGCUUAGAAGCAGCCAUCAUUUAAAGAAAGCGUAAUAGCUCACUGGUCGAGUCGGCCUGCGCGGAAGAUGUAACGGGGCUAAACCAUGCACCGAAGCUGCGGCAGCGACGCUGAUGCGUUGUUGGGUAGGGGAGCGUUCUGUAAGCCUGUGAAGGUGGCCUGUGAGGGUUGCUGGAGGUAUCAGAAGUGCGAAUGCUGACAUAAGUAACGAUAAAGCGGGUGAAAAGCCCGCUCGCCGGAAGACCAAGGGUUCCUGUCCAACGUUAAUCGGGGCAGGGUGAGUCGACCCCUAAGGCGAGGCCGAAAGGCGUAGUCGAUGGGAAACGGGUUAAUAUUCCCGUACUUGGUGUUACUGCGAAGGGGGGACGGAGAAGGCUAUGUUGGCCGGGCGACGGUU